This 982-nucleotide ribosomal RNA is filed under the name uncultured bacterium. Its description in RNAcentral is "bacterial SSU rRNA". It matches the Rfam family "Bacterial small subunit ribosomal RNA", at positions 9 to 873 of the family's 1533-position model. The record is from RNAcentral.
GAGUUUGAUCCUGGCUCAGAUUGAACGCUGGCGGCAGGCCUAACACAUGCAAGUCGAGCGGCAGCGGGAAGAUAGCUUGCUAUCUUCGCCGACGAGCGGCGGACGGGUGAGUAAUACCUGGGGAUCUGCCCAAUCGAGGGGGAUAACAGUUGGAAACGACUGCUAAUACCGCAUACGCCCUACGGGGGAAAGGAGGGGACCUUCGGGCCUUCCGCGAUUGGAUGAACCCAGGCGGGAUUAGCUAGUAGGUGAGGUAAUGGCUCACCUAGGCGACGAUCCCUAGCUGUUCUGAGAGGAUGGACAGCCACACUGGAACUGAGACACGGUCCAGACUCCUACGGGAGGCAGCAGUGGGGAAUAUUGGACAAUGGGGGAAACCCUGAUCCAGCCAUGCCGCGUGUGUGAAGAAGGCCUUCGGGUUGUAAAGCACUUUCAGUGGGGAGGAAAGGUUGAUGGUUAAUACCUAUCAGCUGUGACGUUACCCACAGAAGAAGCACCGGCUAACUCCGUGCCAGCAGCCGCGGUAAUACGGAGGGUGCAAGCGUUAAUCGGAAUUACUGGGCGUAAAGCGUGCGCAGGCGGUCUGUUAAGCGAGAUGUGAAAGCCCCGGGCUCAACCUGGGAACUGCAUUUCGAACUGGCAGACUAGAGUCUUGUAGAGGGGGGUAGAAUUCCAGGUGUAGCGGUGAAAUGCGUAGAGAUCUGGAGGAAUACCGGUGGCGAAGGCGGCCCCCUGGACAAAGACUGACGCUCAGGCACGAAAGCGUGGGGGAGCAAACAGGAUUAGAUACCCUGGGUAGUCCACGCCCGUAAAACGAUGUCUACUCCGAAGUUUGGUGUCUUUGAACACUGGGGCUCUCAAAGCUAACGCCAUUAAAGUAAAACCGCCCUGGGGGAGUAACGGCCCCCAAGGUUAAAAACUCAAAAUGAAAUUGAACGGGGGGGCCCCCCACAAAAACGGGGUGGGGACCAGUGGGGGGGUU